Molecule: long non-coding RNA, 743 nt
Filed under: Helianthus annuus (common sunflower)
Lineage: Eukaryota; Viridiplantae; Streptophyta; Magnoliopsida; Asterales; Asteraceae
Source: RNAcentral
UAGACACAUCCUUCAUCUGCAUUCUUUCUCAUCUCCAUUAACAUUCCACAUCAGGUUUGCAAAACCCUAGACACAACCUUCACUUGCAUUCCUGAUUCAAGCCAUUCGAAUUAUUCAGCAUCAGAUUUGGCGGCCACGAUGAUUGGAACUGAUGGUGGUUGGAGAAACGACGAUGUGAGUAGUGGUCAGGGAGACGAAAGGGAUUCAUCAUAGGUAUGUUACAAAACCUUAUGAUUCAGACUAUAAUUAAUCUGGCUCCAUCAUUCUUCGUCUUCUCAACCGUCUAAUAUGAAGGUCAGUUUCCAUCGAUUUUAGGUUUUUUAGAUUUGAGGUUUUCUUUGCAUUUUGAUUUAUUAAGGUUUUUUAUACAUCAGUUAAAUCGUUGAUACUCUAUCCUAUUAAGGAAUUGAUUUUAGGGUUUUUACGCUAAAAUCAUCAUCGGCGACCGUCGCCGUGCUAAUAUCUUCCGAUUAACAUCUGACCAAAGCGUGUAUGUAUUUGUCGGUACGUAUUCCUUUGAGCUACGAAUUGAUUUGAUUCUUUAGAAUGCUCUUAAUUUUUUUGUUUUUACGAUUAGGUUUGCUGGUGUUAUUCGUCAUUAGUUGCUGCUCAAUUGAUGCUCUUAAUAUUGUUAUGGCAUUUGAUAGGUUUCUUCAUAUUUUUUGUGAUUGGCAGUUUGGAGCUUGAUGAACAAGAUAAGCCAAAAUCAGCGGUCUCGAGCUGUUUCUCAGGUUCAUCAUCGU